GACGAACGCUGGCGGCGUGCCUAAUACAUGCAAGUUGAGCGCUGAAGGUUGGUACUUGUACCAACUGGAUGAGCAGCGAACGGGUGAGUAACGCGUGGGGAAUCUGCCUUUGAGCGGGGGACAACAUUUGGAAACGAAUGCUAAUACCGCAUAAAAACUUUAAACACAAGUUUUAAGUUUGAAAGAUGCAAUUGCAUCACUCAAAGAUGAUCCCGCGUUGUAUUAGCUAGUUGGUGAGGUAAAGGCUCACCAAGGCGAUGAUACAUAGCCGACCUGAGAGGGUGAUCGGCCACAUUGGGACUGAGACACGGCCCAAACUCCUACGGGAGGCAGCAGGAGGGAAUCUUCGGCAAUGGACGAAAGUCUGAACGAGCAACGCCGCGUGAGUGAAGAAGGGUUUCGGAUCGUAAAACUCUGUUGGUAGAGAAGAACGUUGGUGAGAGUGGAAAGCUCAUCAAGUGACGGUAACUACCCAGAAAGGGACGGCUAACUACGUG
This 497-nucleotide ribosomal RNA is filed under the name uncultured bacterium. RNAcentral describes it as "partial 16S ribosomal RNA". It matches the Rfam family "Bacterial small subunit ribosomal RNA", at positions 28 to 507 of the family's 1533-position model. The record is from RNAcentral.